AGAGAGAGACAUGCGCGCAUAUCAAUAAGCGGAGGAAAAGAAACUAACAAGGAUUCCCUUAGUAACGGCGAGUGAAGCGGGAAGAGCUCAAAUUUGAAAUCUUCAAGGUUUUACCUUGACGAAUUGUAGUUUAAAGAAGUGUUUGCUGCUGAAGUUUUGGUAAAAGUUCUUUGGAAUAGGACAUCAUAGAGGGUGAGAAUCCCGUAUUUGACCAUUAUUUUCAGCUUUGUGAUACACUUUCAAAGAGUCGGAUUGUUUGGGAAUGCAGUCCAAAAUGGGUGGUAAAUUUCAUCUAAAGCUAAAUAUUGGCGAGAGACCGAUAGCGAACAAGUACCGUGAGGGAAAGAUGAAAAGAACUUUGAAAAGAGAGUUAAACAGUACGUGAAAUUGUCAAAAGGGGAAGCGUUUGACACCAGUGUUGUUUUCCUCGAAAAUCAAUUAAAAAUGGCUCGAUUUUGUAUUGUUGAGACCUUAAAAGCUCACUGUACAUUUUUCGUGUCUUUUUUAAUGCACUUUUCGUUUAACAAGUCAACAUCAGUUUCUUUUGUUGUAAAAGGGUCAUUGGAAGGUGGCUUUCUUUUCGGAGAAAGUGUUUAUAGCCUUUGGCCUCUGCAAUCGGAGAGACUGAGGUCUGCAGCGUAGACUCUUCGGGGUUAGAUACAUUUGUGCUAAGUUAUAGCUUUUUAUAGACAACUUGUUGACUAUAAUUAGUCUUGUAGCUUACUCGCUUAUGCUAUUUUACCUACGCUUAGGAUGUUGAGUCGUAGAGCACGCAG
Molecule: ribosomal RNA, 776 nt
Filed under: uncultured Neocallimastigales
Lineage: Eukaryota; Fungi; Neocallimastigomycota; Neocallimastigomycetes; Neocallimastigales
Description: partial large subunit ribosomal RNA
Rfam family: Eukaryotic large subunit ribosomal RNA
Source: RNAcentral